Molecule: unclassified non-coding RNA, 1601 nt
Filed under: Hevea brasiliensis (rubber tree)
Lineage: Eukaryota; Viridiplantae; Streptophyta; Magnoliopsida; Malpighiales; Euphorbiaceae
Source: RNAcentral
AUGCAAUAGGAAGCAAAGGGGUAUGAAAAGUGAAAGUUCAAGAUUCCAUUUUUGCUUGCUGGUUUUGUGUGCAAGCCUUCUCAUCUCAUCAAGCAACCAAAAUCAUUCACAUAACCAUGUUGCCUUAUUCAUCUUUGGGGAUUCACUCUUCGAUUCUGGGAAUAAUAACUAUCUUAAAAAUGCUAUUGGCCGGGCGAAUUUCUGGCCUUAAGGGGAAACAUUCUUUAAGCAACCUGCUGGCAGGUUUUCAGAUGGUCGACUGAUUUCUGAUUUUAUUGGUAACACCGCUUUCCCCCCCUUCUUUCCACUUUAUGGGUACUGAAUGUUUGCUUAAUUGAUCGAUUCUUUCUUCUCUCUGUGUCCCUUUUUUUUUUUAGCUGAGUAUUUGAAGUUGCCAUUAAUUCCACCAUAUCUCCAGCCGGGUAUUCAUCAAUUUACAGAUGGGGUAAACUUUGCUUCAGGUGGAGCCAGUGCUUUAGUUGAAACCAGUCAAGGCAAUGAAGGAAGGGUAUGUUAUGUGAUAUUUCUCCUUAAUUAGGCGAAUCGAUUUGAAUUUCCCUAAUUUUGUUCAAUGAUAUACUAGUUUACGUAACUCUGUCAGUAAAAACUCGAGUCUUAUCGGAUGGCCUUUUAUCUUUUUGGAUAUGAUGAUUGGUGUCUUCAAUUCUCAUCUCAGUUUUGCCACUUAUCCCACAUAGGUGAUAGAACUUAAAACUCAGGUUCUUUAUUUGAAGAAUGUGAAGAAACAUAUAAAGCAGCAGAUAGGUGAUCCAGAAACUAGGACAUUAUUGUCCAGAGCCAUUUACUUAAUUAGCAUUGGAGGCAACGAUUACCUAGCACCUUCCAGUGUGUUUGAAUCCUUCCCUAUAGAAGAAUUUGCAGGGAUGGUCGUUGGAAAUAUGACUUCUGCGAUCAAAGUAAAUAACAUUCUCCACUCCUGCAGUUGUACUGAGUUACUGACUGAGCUAAUCCCAGUUGGUCUCCUCUUUUGUUCCUUACUGAACUUGAGACUUUACAGUCCGACUCUGAUACAACUGAGAUCAUAUAUCUUAUGGUUAUGAUUUUAUGUUUCAGGACAUUUACAAGAUUGGAGGAAGGAAAUUUGCAUUUGUAGGUAUGGGGGCUUUUGAUUGUGCACCAAAAAUGAGAGCACUUAAACAGCAUAGAGGACACCGUGAUAAAGAAGCCACAUCUCUUGAAAACUACACGAUAAAGUACUUCCUGAAGUACUCAAAGAGCUAAAGAGUCAUGAGCUGAAGAAGUUGAAGUAUUUAUACUUUGAUUUCUACACUACAUUAAGCCAAAGAAUUAAUAACCCUUCAAAAUAUGGUUUCAAGGAGACAAAAGUGAUAUGCUGUGGAGCUGGUCCAUUCUGAGGAACUAAAUCAAGCUGUGGAAUAUCAAAAGAUUAUGAAGUAUGUGAAGAUGUGAGUGAAUAUUUGUUCUUUGAUCCAGUUCAUCCCACAGAGAAGGCCUACAAGCAACUUGCAAAGCUAAUCUGGAGAGGAGGUCACAACGUCAGCUGGCCUUACAAUCUUAAAACACUGGCUGAGACAGAUCCCAAAACAUAGCUAUGAUCGUUGAAAUAUUGUGUAAUAAAU